AUGUAAGCAACUUUUCACUUUUUUAGAUUCAUUUAAUAAAUAUGUAUGUGGUCUACAUUACAGACCACGUACAUCAUUUAUUGAAUGAACCUAAAAAGUGAAAAGUUACUUACAU
MicroRNA precursor from Medicago truncatula (barrel medic), 115 nucleotides. It matches the Rfam family "MIR2593 microRNA precursor family". The record is from Rfam. Lineage: Eukaryota; Viridiplantae; Streptophyta; Magnoliopsida; Fabales; Fabaceae.